GCCACCUACCCCAAUAUAGCCACAAAUCCAUAACCUACUUUACUCUGUACAUUGAUGAGAAAUUCGAAAAGAAUGAAGCCAAACAAUUGUAACCCUUUCUUGUCCAAGGGAGAUGACAACAUCCAUGAUGAUUAUCAGGAGCUUUUGUUUCAGUCUCAGGAAGAAUUCGAUUUUGUAGACAAGGUUAAGGAAUGGUUUGAGAUCCAUGAAGAUGUUUUUAUAACAUUCCUUCAUCAGUGGAAAUUGUACCAACAAGGACACAAGAGCAAACAUGACCUCUUCUGUGAUAUGGCUUUCCUUUUCUCUGACUAUCAAGAUUUUCUUGCGGAGUUCGCAGGACUCUUAAAAGAAUCUACACCAAGUCCUUUGCCAGAAGCAGGACUCUUAAAAGAAUCUACACCAAGUCCUUUGCCAGAACUGAAAUCUGAAAUGAAGAAUCAGGAAAAGUUGUGAAAGCUUAUCCCUGUAUUUCAUGCGAAGUCACCACUGGGAAAGUGAAUAUAUUUUCAGUGAUAUGUUAUUGCUUUAAGUUUCUGCAAUUAGGUAAGGCUUGUUCAUGCUUGUAUUGAAUUAUUGAUGAAUAAAAGUUCCCUAUCUUAUAUAUCUUGCCUUGCCUAGAGUGAAAUCUU
This 629-nucleotide unclassified non-coding RNA is filed under the name Hevea brasiliensis (rubber tree). The record is from RNAcentral. Lineage: Eukaryota; Viridiplantae; Streptophyta; Magnoliopsida; Malpighiales; Euphorbiaceae.